GCUGUAGCUCAGUGGUAGAGCGCUUGCCUACCAUGCAACAAGGCCCUGAGUUCAAUCUCUAGCACUGCA
This 69-nucleotide transfer RNA is filed under the name Marmota monax (woodchuck). Its description in RNAcentral is "tRNA.Gly". The record is from RNAcentral. Lineage: Eukaryota; Metazoa; Chordata; Mammalia; Rodentia; Sciuridae.